UAGCUGCGAUACGUGAUGUGAAUUGCAGAAUUCGUGAAUCAUCGAAUCUUUGAACGCAUACUGCGCUUUUGGGUGACCAGAAGCAUGUCUGCUUGAGUGUCAUUUAUACAUCUUCACCUAAAAAAAUUUUCCUUCUUCCCCGGAAGCUGGAGCGACUUUUCUAAGGUGGAUCUGCAAGUCUUUCUUUGCCUCUGGGUAAAACAAAGUCUUGUGAAAGCUAUUGGAAACAAAAAAAAAAAAUUAAUAAGAGAGAAUGGUUCCCUUCUCCCUCUAUUUUUUUCCCUUUCCUCUCAUGUAAUGAGGUAGAAUUUUACAACAUUACAGCUACGAGUUAGGAUAGAGAAGCUCAUAAAAAAAGAGGUUGGGUUACCUUCCCCCUUUUUCAAUAUUUGACCUCAAGUCAGACAAGACUACCCGCUGAACUUAAGC
This 429-nucleotide unclassified non-coding RNA is filed under the name plant metagenome. Its description in RNAcentral is "partial contains 5.8S ribosomal RNA, internal transcribed spacer 2, and large subunit ribosomal RNA". The stretch from base 1 to 102 matches the Rfam family "5.8S ribosomal RNA", at positions 50 to 154 of the family's 154-position model. The record is from RNAcentral.